Ictalurus punctatus (channel catfish) is the source of this 1089-nucleotide long non-coding RNA. RefSeq lists it as uncharacterized. The record is from RefSeq and is a predicted model, not a curated record. NCBI's taxonomy places the organism in Eukaryota, Metazoa, Chordata, Actinopteri, Siluriformes, Ictaluridae. The transcript has 2 exons.
AGGACGACCAUCCAGAUGCAGCCUCCAAUCGUCAGAACUAUCAUGACAUAGCAGGCCUUAACACGCAGUCGGUUCCUGGCUGCAUCAAUCAUCUCAAAUCUGAAAAUCAGAUUUGUAACAGAAACGUUGAGGGCUGUUCCAGGUUGAAAAUAUGGUAGCGUUUAAGAUUGGGAAACCACGCCUCCUUCACUGUGACUGACAGGCACCAGGGCAACGCCUCCUCCACUGACACUGACAGGCAUCUUUUCUUGUCAUAUGAACAUCUCCAGCUCUCCAUAUGAGCCACAUCUGUUCUUUGAUCUCUUCCCGGAUAGCACGAAUUACACCAAUUAACUUUACACACGGGGAAGUGACUUUGAGAACAAAUGUCACAUGACUUCAUAAACACACUGUUUUAUCUGGCUACGGAAAAGGACGUGGCCACUUACGACACGAGCUCUGGGAUCUGCUCCUUGGAUUUGAAGCGUCCGGACCACACAAGAAUCUUCUUGUCCAUCUCGGACGGACUGUAGCCGGGCGUUUUGAACCCUGCUGUUUGUGCAAGAGAAUAAAAAAUAAAUGGAAAAAAAGUCAUUUCAAAUGUAAUUUAAGACCACCUUUGUAGUGCUGUACAAAAUAUGUAUAGAAAAUAUACAUGCAUAAACAUUUUACCUAUACAAUGCCCUCCACUAAUACUGAAAUUCUUGGUAAUUAUGAGCAAAGAAGGCUGUGAAAAAUUGUCUAUUUUGAUAUUUUCCUUUGAUCUUUUGGUUGAACAAUUUCCUGUUCCUAGUCAUCCAGGUGUAGUUAAAAAAAAAAAAGAGUCAUAUCAAUGGCAAUAUACUUCAAUAUAUUAUUCUCAUAUGAAUUUAUAGGGGUGCCAAUAAUUGUUGGGGCAUGGCAUGGAGGCGAUCAGCCUGUGGCACUGCUGAGGUGUUCUGGAAGCUCAGGUUGCUUUGAUAGCGGCCUUCAGCUCGUCUGUAUUGUUGGGUCUGUUGUCUCUCAUAGAUUCUCUAUGGGGUUCGGGUCAGGCGAGUCGGCUGGCCAAUCAAGCACAGUAAUACCAUGGUCAGCAAACCAGUUACUAGUAGUUUUGGCACUGUGGGCAGG